CAGUCAUAUUAGGAUGAAUUUCUUCUGGUAUAUACUGUUGUAGUCUAUGAUGCUAGAUGGUUCCUCCCCUAAACAUCCCAUAAUAAGACCUGUGACCCUGGGCUGCUUUUCCCCUGCUUCCUACAGUGUGUCCCCUGGGCAGCAACCUUUCUAGUCUGGAAAGUGAUCUAUAAAGCUGCUGCUGCUGACUCUGUUGUGGGUUUCAUGCCUGGGCAGUGAGGUGGAGGCUCUGCUAAGACAGCUCUGGGAGGGACCCAGAGAAGGUGUUUGUUCCUUGAGUGUCCUCAGUUUGGGUUCUGGCCUGUGUUUGUGCAUCCCUGUGUUCCUCUGGGCUUGUGGAGUUGAGCUUUGGAGGGGCUGGUGGCUCCUGGGAUGGGCCUGGGAGCAGCUUGAGCAGGGUAUUAUUUGGGCUUCUGCUCCUGCUGCUGUGUCUGAGCUCCUUUGUGGGUGUGCAGAUUAGCUUUAUCAUACAACCUAGCAAUAAUGAAUGAAGUAUAAUAUCUUAUGAGUAAUAGGCUAUGUUUACUAGUUCUAGUUAUAAUGAAGAAUUACUGUUAUCCAGUUACAACAUGUGCAAGUCUCCAGAGAGGAAGAUGUUUCGAGUUGAAAUAAUUGUAACUUACUGUUAGAGUGUUUUCCUGAGAAUUUUUUGACGAGUUUUUGCCUUUGUUUUGUCCUUAAGAUACUCUCCAUAAGUGAUCCUUCUGUUUUCAAUGAGUGUUAUUCAGAAGACUCAAACUGUAUCAAGCUCUCAUCUGAAAUAGCUGACAAUUUGUUGUCUUUCACAGAUGAGUAUGGAAAAAAGGAAUUAAAUGUACAUUGUUCUCUUUACUCUUCCCUA
This is a long non-coding RNA of Neopsephotus bourkii (Bourke's parrot), 841 nucleotides long. RefSeq lists it as uncharacterized. NCBI's taxonomy places the organism in Eukaryota, Metazoa, Chordata, Aves, Psittaciformes, Psittacidae. The record is from RefSeq and is a predicted model, not a curated record. The transcript has 2 exons.